RNAcentral lists this ribosomal RNA (497 nucleotides) under uncultured bacterium. Its description in RNAcentral is "partial 16S ribosomal RNA". It matches the Rfam family "Bacterial small subunit ribosomal RNA", at positions 28 to 507 of the family's 1533-position model. The record is from RNAcentral.
GACGAACGCUGGCGGCGUGCCUAAUACAUGCAAGUUGAGCGAUGAAGAUUGGUGCUUGCACCAAUUUGAAGAGCAGCGAACGGGUGAGUAACGCGUGGGGAAUCUGCCUUUGAGCGGGGGACAACAUUUGGAAACGAAUGCUAAUACCGCAUAACAACUUUAAACAUAAGUUUUAAGUUUGAAAGAUGCAAUUGCAUCACUCAAAGAUGAUCCCGCGUUGUAUUAGCUAGUUGGUGAGGUAAAGGCUCACCAAGGCGAUGAUACAUAGCCGACCUGAGAGGGUGGUCGGCCACAUUGGGACUGAGACACGGCCCAAACUCCUACGGGAGGCAGCAGUAGGGAAUCGUCGGCAAUGGACGAAAGUCUGACCGAGCAACGCCGCGGGAGUGAAGAAGGUUUUCGGAUCGUAAAACUCUGUUGGUAGAGAAGAACGUUGGUGAGAGUGGAAAGCUCAUCAAGUGACGGUAACUACCCAGAAAGGGACGGCUAACUACGUG